This 492-nucleotide ribosomal RNA is filed under the name uncultured bacterium. RNAcentral describes it as "partial 16S ribosomal RNA". It matches the Rfam family "Bacterial small subunit ribosomal RNA", at positions 29 to 507 of the family's 1533-position model. The record is from RNAcentral.
AGUGAACGCUGGCGGUAGGCCUAACACAUGCAAGUCGAACGGCAGCACAGUAAGAGCUUGCUCUUACGGGUGGCGAGUGGCGGACGGGUGAGGAAUACAUCGGAAUCUACUUUUUCGUGGGGGAUAACGUAGGGAAACUUACGCUAAUACCGCAUACGACCUACGGGUGAAAGCAGGGGAUCUUCGGACCUUGCGCGAUUGAAUGAGCCGAUGUCGGAUUAGCUAGUUGGCGGGGUAAAGGCCCACCAAGGCGACGAUCCGUAGCUGGUCUGAGAGGAUGAGCAGCCACACUGGAACUGAGACACGGUCCAGACUCCUACGGGAGGCAGCAGUGGGGAAUAUUGGACAAUGGGCGCGAGCCUGAUCCAGCCAUACCGCGUGGGUGAAGAAGGCCUUCGGGUUGUAAAGCCCUUUUGUUGGGAAAGAAAAGCAGCAGGUUAAUACCCCGCUGUUCUGACGGUACCCAAAGAAUAAGCACCGGCUAACUUCGUG